GUGGUGGCUCAGUGGUAGAGCGCUUGUCUUGCACGUAUGAGGCACUGGGUUCAAUUCUCAGCACCACA
Molecule: transfer RNA, 68 nt
Filed under: Ictidomys tridecemlineatus (thirteen-lined ground squirrel)
Lineage: Eukaryota; Metazoa; Chordata; Mammalia; Rodentia; Sciuridae
Also listed under: 1 other name
Description: Spermophilus tridecemlineatus (thirteen-lined ground squirrel) tRNA
Rfam family: tRNA
About the family: Transfer RNA (tRNA) molecules are approximately 80 nucleotides in length. Their secondary structure includes four short double-helical elements and three loops (D, anti-codon, and T loops). Further hydrogen bonds mediate the characteristic L-shaped molecular structure. tRNAs have two regions of fundamental functional importance: the anti-codon, which is responsible for specific mRNA codon recognition, and the 3' end, to which the tRNAs corresponding amino acid is attached (by aminoacyl-tRNA synthetases). tRNAs cope with the degeneracy of the genetic code in two manners: having more than one tRNA (with a specific anti-codon) for a particular amino acid; and 'wobble' base-pairing, i.e. permitting non-standard base-pairing at the 3rd anti-codon position.
Source: Rfam by way of RNAcentral